Molecule: ribosomal RNA, 233 nt
Filed under: uncultured bacterium
Lineage: Bacteria
Description: partial 16S ribosomal RNA
Rfam family: Bacterial small subunit ribosomal RNA
Source: RNAcentral
UCCACGCCGUAAACGAUGGAUACUAGUUGCUGGGAGUACUUCGGUACUUUCAGUGACUAAGCGAAAGUGAUAAGUAUCCCACCUGGGGAGUACGGUCGCAAGAUUGAAACUCAAAGGAAUUGACGGGGGCCCGCACAAGCGGUGGAGCAUGUGGUUUAAUUCGAUGAUACGCGAGGAACCUUACCAGGGCUUAAAUGCAGGCUGCAUGGGGUAGAGAUACCCCUUUCUUCGGA